AUACGUAGGGAGCGAGCGUUGUCCGGAAUUACUGGGCGUAAAGGGCGCGUAGGCGGCGCUUCAAGUCGUCUGUCAAAUGGAAGGGCUUAACCCUUUUUCGCAGACGAAACUGGAGAGCUUGAGAAGCAGAGAGGCAAACAGAAUUCCUGGGGUAGCGGGGAAAUGCGUAGAUAUCAGGAAGAAUACCAGUGGCGAAGGCGGUUUGCUGGCGGAAUACUGACGCUGAAGCGCGAAAGCCAGGGGAGCAAACGGGACUAGAUACCCCGGGAGUCCUGGCAGUAAACGAUGUAUGCUGGGUGUGAGACUAGCGAUAGUUUCGUGCCGAAGUUAACGCGAUAAGCAUACCGCCUGGGGAGUACGGUCGCAAGAUUGAAACUCAAAUGAAUUGGCGGGG
This 394-nucleotide ribosomal RNA is filed under the name uncultured bacterium. RNAcentral describes it as "partial 16S ribosomal RNA". It matches the Rfam family "Bacterial small subunit ribosomal RNA", at positions 523 to 918 of the family's 1533-position model. The record is from RNAcentral.